UCCCCAUUUGUAACACUGACGGGCAGAGCCUGUGCACGUGCACAUUGGUACUGGCAUUGUUGUCUCAUCAAAGGUGACCAAAUUUAAGCCGACAUCUUGGCUGUCCCAAUCUGUUCUAGAUUUCUUUCCAGGAGCAGCAACUCGACGGUUCAGAUCUUCACCCACUUUUUUCAACUUUACUUGUCCCUGUUUGUUCUCCUUCUUCCUUUUGUUCACCUUCGUGUUGGUCACCUCAGGAGGAAUAGUUGAUAAAGGGAAGACUGCAAGCUUGUGGGUUUCAGUACCGAAACAAUCAUCUCCAUCAGCGCGUUUCCCACCCGACAAAGCAAAGUUGAGACUAUUUUCAUGGUGUUGAAGCGCAG
RNAcentral lists this long non-coding RNA (362 nucleotides) under Capsella rubella. RNAcentral's name for it is "long non-coding RNA (CRUB_LNC002921)". Lineage: Eukaryota; Viridiplantae; Streptophyta; Magnoliopsida; Brassicales; Brassicaceae. The record is from RNAcentral.